RNAcentral lists this non-coding RNA (24 nucleotides) under Mus musculus (house mouse). The record is from RNAcentral. Lineage: Eukaryota; Metazoa; Chordata; Mammalia; Rodentia; Muridae.
UAGCAGGGUGUAGAUUGGCAUGGU